RNAcentral lists this ribosomal RNA (797 nucleotides) under uncultured Planctomycetota bacterium. RNAcentral's name for it is "bacterial SSU rRNA". It matches the Rfam family "Bacterial small subunit ribosomal RNA", at positions 58 to 863 of the family's 1533-position model. Lineage: Bacteria; Pseudomonadati; Planctomycetota. The record is from RNAcentral.
CAAGUCGAACGAAUCCCGGGGGCAACUCCGGGGGAAGUGGCGAAAGGGGCAGUAAGGCGUGGCUAACCCACCCCGGGGACGGGGAUAGCCUCCCUAACGGGAGGGUAAUACCCGGCGAGGUGGUCUGGAGGCAUCUUCGGGCCAUGAAACGAGUUUCGCCUCGGGAGGGGGUCACGUGCUAUUACCUAGUUGGCGGGGUAACGGCCCACCAAGGGGAAGAUGGCUAGCGGGUGUGAGAGCACGACCCGCGCCACUGGCACUGAGACACUGGCCAGACUCCUACGGGAGGCUGCAGUCGAGGAUCUUCGGCAAUGGGCGCAAGCCUGACCGAGCGACGCCGCGUGUGCGAUGAAGGCCUUCGGGUUGUAAAGCACUGUCGAGGGGGAGGAAAGCCCGCAAGGGCCUGACCUAUCCCUGGAGGAAGCACGGGCUAAGUUCGUGCCAGCAGCCGCGGUAAGACGAACCGUGCGAACGUUGUUCGGAUUCACUGGGCUUAAAGGGCGCGUAGGCGGCUGGUCUAGUCAGGGGUGAAAUCUUUCGGCUCAACCGGAAAACGGCCCCUGAUACUGGCCGGCUGGAGGGAGGUAGGGGCAGAUGGAACUUCCGGUGGAGCGGUGAAAUGCGUAGAUAUCGGAAGGAACGCCGGUGGCGAAAGCGAUCUGCUGGACCUCUUCUGACGCUGAGGCGCGAAAGCCAGGGGAGCAAACGGGAUUAGAUACCCCGGUAGUCCUGGCCCUAAACGAUGGGGACUAGGUAGUGGACUUGACAUGGGUUCACUGCCGAAGCGAAAGUGUUAG